Molecule: RNA transcript, 3085 nt
Organism: Anarrhichthys ocellatus (wolf-eel)
Lineage: Eukaryota; Metazoa; Chordata; Actinopteri; Perciformes; Anarhichadidae
Gene name: microtubule-actin cross-linking factor 1-like
Exons: 3
Source: RefSeq, a predicted model, not a curated record
CGGAUGACGCAGGAGUACGACCCGAAAUUUCAAUUUCCGCAACACUUAACACACUCAAUAGACAUGGGUAAAGUGUGAAAACUGCCUAUUGAAGAGAGAGCGUGUGUGUGUGAGUGUGUAUGUGUGUGUGAGUGUGUGGAAGCGGAGCAGGAGAGGAGGGCCGGUGGGGGUUGUUGAGAGCGGAGAAAGGGAGAGAGAGGCAGAGGGGGAAAGAGGAGGAAUCGGACAGCCAUUAUAGCAUUCAGGAUUACGUUGCUUUGCUGUUCUUUGCGUCAUCGCCUCCCCCUCCUCCCCUCACGGCUGUGUGUCGGCUCGGUUCUUUAGGAAAAAAAAACCCGAUCGGUGGAAGCCGAAAAAAUCCUUCCGUCCAGCCAUCCAGGAGGAGAGGGAGCGGCGGCGGCAGCAGCAUCCCCGGCCUCCCUCGCUCUGUGCUCGGAUCUCAGGAUCCGCUGCUGCCCGGUGAAGCUUCCCGGGAACGAGAUGGAGUCCUCGGAUGACGAUACUCUAAGCGAGCGCUCCUGCGUCAGUGAGCCGUCCUUCCGUAGUGAGCGUUCGGGGGGGUCGCUGUCCCCGUGCCGGUCGGGCACCGCGGGGCCGCCGGGAGACACACUGCCGUGGAACCUGUCCAAACACGAGCGGAGGAAGAGGAAGAGCCAGGACUCGGUGCUGGACCCGGCAGAGAGGGCGGUGGUUCGCGUGGCAGGUAAAACAUUUCUUCUCCUCUUCCUCUCAGUAUUCAUCUCUGCUGAAACUACUGGCUGUUUUACAUCCUUCAUUUCUUUCGGAGCAGUCUGUGUCGGUCAUUCAAUCGAGUGGCUCGACGGUGUCGUUGUUUUUCUUCCUGUCUGGAUAAUGUGUGUGUCCCCCACACACUCGCUUGCUGUGUGCUGUGUCUCAAUCGCAUAUAUUCCCAGAGUACACUGAUGUGGUUUAGUUGUUUUAAAGUGAACUGGUAACUCCUCUGGACCAGUUCACGGAGCGUUGCUAAACCCCGUCUCUUCUUUUUUUUAAUCCUGAGGAAAAACACACCGGCAGCUAGCUGCUGUCCCGUCGCUAUGGUUACCAGUCACAGCACCGCAGUCCUCUGGCCUGAGGAAGUGUGUGUGUGUGUGUGUGUGUUCAGGGCUGCCUUUGAUGAAGCGGGCUGCUGUUGACGGGGUCGUGUGAAAGAGGAGACUCCCAGUAGAGCGUUCAGGAUCGCUGAACAGUUUUCAACAGUUCUUAUUCUUUUUUUUAUUCAGGAUUUGUCAACUUAAGAGUUGUUGAACCGAGCGUGUUGGCUUUGAACUGCAGUCUUCGUCUGCUCGGGAUUUGACAGUUUGGUUUUCAUAUCAAGUUUUGCAUACAUGUCGCAUUUCUAGAAACUGUUUUCAUAUGAGAGAUCGAUCGAUCGAUCGAUCGAUCACAGCCCCCCCUAUUUUCCCUCCCUCUACAAUGCCAUUGGUGUGUGAGGAAACAAAUACAUGGAGGCUAAUUGGAAGCUAUCGCCCUUUGAACUUUGGGGGGUCAGGUCAUUAUCUGGGGUCAUCUCAAAUCCUCCUCACACACACACACUUGACUUAUCUGCCCUCCUAUCGGUCAUUAUCAGUCAUUACUCUUGUUAAAUAGCUCUUCAUGACCGAAUUUCUGCUGUGUGUGUGUGUGUGUGUGUGUGUGUGUGUGUGUGUGUGUGUGUGUGUGUGUGUACUGAGAAAUGUUUGGAUGUGUGACGGGUAAUAUUUGGGGGUCAAACUGUUUGUCUUUGACAAAGAGAGAGAGAAGUUUGUUUCAACUAAAGAACAAGUUGUUUCUUCUUGAAUCACUUUCUGUCAGAAUACAGCACAGCUGAAUGCAACAGUUAGAUAAUAUAGACCUGAAUGGAGAAGAAGAUUUCUUUCCGGAUGAAAUGAUGAGCUGAGAGAGUAUGUCUGUCAAAGGGUUAUUACAAAGUUUAAUUGCAUAAAAUAAAAACUUCACUUAUGUAGUGCUAACUUUUGAAUUAUUAGGUCCAAAUGAAAAGUUGCACAUCCGCCAUUUUUUCCGCAGCUUUUCAUCACAUUUUUAGUUAUUCUUUCUGUAAAAAUAAUUUAUGAAUUGAGUCUCAGCAGCAGCUAUGAAAAUGAUUGUUGUGUCGUGAUAAAUGACAGCUGUGUAUCAUCCAACAUGAUUCAUUGGCUUUGUGUCGGUUGAGUGAGUGGCAAACACACUCGGCACUAUGUCGGGUGAUUUCCUGCUGCAGCAGUUCCUGUUUGUCCUGAGCGUCAGUGUGAUCCUGGACCAGGUUCUGGGUUCUCUCAGCGUUCUGGUCCCAGUGCCCUGGUGUGACCUCCAGCAAGAGUCCGUGUACAUCUCUACAAUCCUCCUGAUGUACACACACUGCUCCUCUCCAAACCAUUGACACUAUCUAAGUCUCACAAGUGGCCCUGGAGUCCUGAAGUGAAGGAAGCCAUCACCAUGUGUUUGGAAACAACGACCUGCCGGUUGCCAUGGCACGAGACCUCAUAUGGCCUCAGUGCUGCGUGUGUUUGUGUCCGGUACAUGUGUACCAAGGCCGAGUACAAGACUGACUGAUCCUGGUUCAGUCAGUCUAUUUGACUCGUGUGGUCCCCACACAGGUGCUGAAAGGAUCAGAGCAUGAAUGGAAUAGUUGAUUUGUGGACAUUUGUCAUUUUAAUAACUAACUUUUAUGUUGUGUGAAGCAAAAAAUGUGGUUUAUUUGUGGUUCCAGCUCGGGGAAAUUGUGAUGGGCUUUACAUUUUUUGUUUGUUUAAAUAUGUAUUAAUUCCAAUAAAUAAGUGUGUGAUUAAUCACUGAAACUAAUGUUGAGUUGCCGCCCUAGUAGAGAAAUGUGAGAUUACAAGAUGAUAGAAGUAAUAUAUACUCUGUGUUAUGUACAGCAGGUGUUCUCAUCUUUUUGGACUUAAUCCUCCAAACGUACAGAAAACAUGCAGAGGCGUACUGUUGAAAUAUAUCAAAUAGACAUUAAAAAAAAAAACUCACGCAUGAGAUGAUCUGUCAUCAUGGAGACCAAGGCUGUGCUGUCAAACCAUGAAAAAAGCAGAGGGGUGUGUGUGUGUGUGUGUGUGUGUGUGUGUGUGUGUGUGUG